UAGGGAAUCUUCCACAAUGGACGCAAGUCUGAUGGAGCAACGCCGCGUGAGUGAAGAAGGUUUUCGGAUCGUAAAGCUCUGUUGUUGGUGAAGAAGGAUAGAGGCAGUAACUGGUCUUAUUUGACGGUAAUCAACCAGAAAGUCACGGCUAACUACGUGCCAGCAGCCGCGGUAAUACGUAGGUGGCAAGCGUUGUCCGGAUUUAUUGGGCGUAAAGCGAGCGCAGGCGGAAUGAUAAGUCUGAUGUGAAAGCCCACGGCUCAACCGUGGAACUGCAUCGGAAACUGUCAUUCUUGAGUGCAGAAGAGGAGAGUGGAAUUCCAUGUGUAGCGGUGGAAUGCGUAGAUAUAUGGAAGAACACCAGUGGCGAAGGCGGCUCUCUGGUCUGCAACUGACGCUGAGGCUCGAAAGCAUGGGUAGCGAACAGG
This 428-nucleotide ribosomal RNA is filed under the name bacterium. RNAcentral's name for it is "partial 16S ribosomal RNA". It matches the Rfam family "Bacterial small subunit ribosomal RNA", at positions 355 to 776 of the family's 1533-position model. The record is from RNAcentral.